Astyanax mexicanus (Mexican tetra) is the source of this 3620-nucleotide long non-coding RNA. RefSeq lists it as uncharacterized. NCBI's taxonomy places the organism in Eukaryota, Metazoa, Chordata, Actinopteri, Characiformes, Acestrorhamphidae. The transcript has 2 exons. The record is from RefSeq and is a predicted model, not a curated record.
GAGACAGUAGGAAUAUAGGGGACACUCAGAAAGAGUGUUUGAGGGAGCCCCUCCCCCUCAUCACGGCCGCUGUCACAAACACUUCUUAUCGCCGGGACGUUUCUGUGGCUCUCCUGUGCUGGUUGCCUGGCAACUUGGGCUGCAUUGAUAUGCGCGGCAGAGGGAGCAGGGGAUGCCGCCUGCCUCUGGAGCGUCAGCGUGGGGCAAGACUUCCCUCCAGCACCCUGCUUAACAACACACAUGCACUCACACACACACACAAUCCUACACUCCUACACUCCACACACCAGUGCUCAGGCAGCCAGCAGCUCCCGGCUCCUCAUCACUCUGGAGGAGAGGAAUCCUUCUGUCUCUUCUUUUGCUCUUUUGUUCCCUCAAAGUGACUUAACUUUACUGGUCUCAAAGUGGUGCAAGUAGUGGACCAUAUGCCUGGGCACAGCUUGAAACUCUUUGACGGUAUACAGCCACAACGGAGAGCAGCCUGGAGUGAAGUUUCUGACUGUUGAGUGAUUUUUCUCCAAUUCAACGGAAAGAAGAAGAAGAAAAAAAGAAGAGAAAUUUCAGGCUUUAUUUUUGGAACUUUGUCCAAUUAAAAAGAGGAAAAUUGGACUGAUCAUGUGAUUUUCAUCACUGUCCUGUCUAUUCAACGCCGGCCGACUCCUUUUCAGAAAACAAAGAGGACAAAGAAGAAGACGAACCAGAAAAAUAGCAAGAAAAAGAAAAAGAACAAGAUGAUCUGAUGCAGCUGAAGCAUGCAUAAGCUGUGCUCAAGAAAACUGAUGACAGCUAAACUCCGGUUUUGACAACUGAGAUGAAACAGAGCAGGAAAUCACAGACCUACCCUAGGGAACGACCAAAAACACAAAGCCUAAAAGCGGGCAAACUGGGAGACCCAGCAGCUCUUUCUCACCCUGGAAAUCCCUACCGGCUGAAGGAUGAGUGGCGCCAACUUGUCUCUUAGCUGCCAGGGAUGUCUCCAAACUCUGAGAAGGCAAUCCCUCCGAGCAUGCCCAGUCCUAUGUUCCUCCUGAUGCUGUGCAAGACUGGUCUGAGAGAGAAGCUGCAGACGACUUCAGAGAAAAUGGUCAACACUUCUCUCAGUGAUGAGGAAAAAGGAAUUCAAGAUAAGGAAAGUAAGGAGGAGUCCAUUCUGGCCAUGCUAGGCAUUAUCGGGACGAUCCUCAACCUGGUCGUUAUUAUCUUCGUGUACAUCUACACAACACUGUAACGCUCUUUCUGUGAACUUCAUCAUCGUCAUUAUGAACUGUGCCACAACGUUCAGGCUGGCAGCCCAUAUUACUGACUGCCUGAAGGAUCAUUACAGACAUCUUCAAUUGCACAGACGACAAUACCCCACUGAUAUGCCACGGCAGCUGAGGAGAAGAAUGUUGAGACUGUGGGAUAUCGAGUCUAUUACUGUCUGUAGCCGAGGGUAUGGAUAGGAACUCUCCGUAACUGUUAAUAAGCACGACUUUUUCCUCCAAUAGGAGCUCGGCUCUUACAAGCCUGAGAAUCAGAAUGGAAUGAUGAAACUGCUGUGCAUGGUACAGUACACAACAUGUUGAUAGAUGAGGUGCCAAAGCUUUCUGACUGUACAUCGUGUGGCCCUCACAGUGGUUCUGCAUUAUUGCAUUAUUGCUGACAUUAUGGUUGGAUGAGUGUUGAUGAACAGCAGGUCACUGCUAGAUCUCUUGCACUCCUUUUCAGGAAUUCUCUACUCUUUAUUCUACUACUCUGGCGAUUUUGUUUACAAGGCUUUGUUUAAAAGAGACUUGUUUUUUUAUGGAAAAAUUUAAGAACAUUGUUCCAAACAGUGUUGAGAACAGUUAAAAAAAAGGUUUGGAAUAUUUGAUAUACUUCUCAAUAUAAUCUGCAUAUUUGUAAUAAUCUUUUAUAUGACGGUAAGAUCUUUCUGUAAAGCAGCUUCAAUUUAGAUACACAACCAAGAUGACUUUGAAACUUCAUCCUCUUACAUUUCAAUACAUUUAUUUGGUCAAAUGUGUAAAGUCCUGUGUUAUUAGUCAGAAUAUCUCUGUUACUAUACUGUUAAAAACUAUAUUCAUGUGGGGCGGGGCAGGGGGUGUGGUUGGCAUUCUUGGCAUUGACUUUGACAGUUUCUUCAGUGUCUAAACCUGUGUAUGAUAUUGUAUGACUUAGUUCUUAGAGGUAUGACAAUGUAGGCUUUGAAAAAAGUAGACAGUUCUGUGUUAAGACUCUUAAGAUUAGGCCUGUCACAAUAAUUACAUUAUCAAAUUAUCAUAAAAUAUAUGAUCCUAAGCUUUUUUUGGUAACUUCAAUUUUGCACAUUUUGUUUACUUAGCAAGAAGAGACUCUGUUUAAAAAAGACUUGUUUUAUUUUUAAAUGUUUUAUUUAAUUGGGACAUUUAAGCAUUUUUAUAUACCAAUUCUAAUGUCUGAAUAUUCUUAAACACUAAAAGUUCAUAGCUCUUUAAAAGUAAUGUGUAAUUACUUUGCAUUACUAAAGCAUUAAACUAUUGUAUUAUCCUUGUAUCUUAAAAUGACAACAAUUCUGGGACAAUAUAUUUCAUUGAAAUGUUUUUUUUUUGGGAUUGUGACAGGCACAACUUCAGUAUCAUUCAUGGUAUAUAUACUGUAUGAUGUACAAUAUAUAUAUAUUGCCUUAAAAUAGAUAGAAUAAUCAUAUUCAUGUCGGCAUUAUGGUCAUUUACAUACUUCUGUUUUCCUCGGCAAGAAGCUGUUUUGAAGAAGUCCAUAUCUGAAUUGGGCAAUAAGGGAAAACAGUAUAUAUAUAUAACAUAUAUAACAGCAUUCAGCAGAACUGUAGAACAAAUGGAACAUUUAAAUGAAUGUCAUCAUGUUACCCGCACGUGAUUACAGCUUUUACAUUACAGCAUCAGUAUGAAACCUGCACUGACAAUAAAAAGCACAACAGGGGAGGUCAUAUUUACAGGAUGAAUGUAUAUACAGUAUGUAUGCAUGUGGAGUAUAUUUCUUCUAAUAUGAGAAACCCAUAUGAAACCUAUUUGUCAUUUCAUUAAGUGCCUGUGUUUCAGUAAGAAAUGUUUCAUUUUUUCAUUUUGUUUAAAUGGUAGAAGUUCUACCUAAAAGUGUUUCAUCAUCUUCAAAUCUGAUAAUAAGUUCAUUUGUAUCUCUGCUAAUACAGCUCGUUCUGAUCAUUUUUCUACAUGCAAAUUUUGCAGUCUUAUAUAAUUUCCAUUAUAUUAUAAAUUCAUUAUAAGGCGUACACAGCCAUUUUAAAACAGAAUCUCAGUGUAGAUCAUUUGAUAUUGUCUAUAAAGGUGAAAAAUUCUGUUCAAAAGGAUGAAUGGAAACUAAUUUCACACAAUGCUUCAAUUGUAAUCAUAAUUCAUUCUGGUGCAGCUGUCAUUUCUGUUUUAUUCAGAUUUUCAGUUAUCUUCUCUCAGUAUGUAAUAUUUCAGAAUGCUGGUCUACAGGAUGUUACUGGAACAUUUGCUCAUGUUUUUUUUUGCAUAGCGAUGAUGCUCUCUGGUAGAUAUAUUUUGUGCUCUGUACCUGUUCAUGUAACAACUUCACUUUUCUGCAGAUUUAGUAAAAAUGACUAAAUAGAUUUAGUAAAAAUAACAUUUGCGUAAAAUACAGCUGGGCUCUAACUGUGA